ACCAGGCAGGGUGGUGCAUGCCUGUCAUCCCAGCUUCUCAGGAGGCUGAGGCAGGAGGAUCACAAGUUUGAGACCAGCCUCAGCAACUAAGCAAGACCCUGCCUCAA
This 107-nucleotide small RNA is filed under the name Marmota monax (woodchuck). Lineage: Eukaryota; Metazoa; Chordata; Mammalia; Rodentia; Sciuridae. The record is from RNAcentral.